RNAcentral lists this ribosomal RNA (385 nucleotides) under uncultured bacterium. RNAcentral's name for it is "bacterial SSU rRNA". It matches the Rfam family "Bacterial small subunit ribosomal RNA", at positions 355 to 732 of the family's 1533-position model. The record is from RNAcentral.
UGGGGAAUUUUGGACAAUGGGCGCAAGCCUGAUCCAGCCAUUCCGCGUGAGUGAAGAAGGCCUUCGGGUUGUAAAGCUCUUUCGCAAGGGAAGAAACGAUUUAGGUAAAUAAUCUAAGUUAAUGACGGUACCUUGAUAAGAAGCACCGGCUAACUACGUGCCAGCAGCCGCGGUAAUACGUAGGGUGCGAGCGUUAAUCGGAAUUACUGGGCGUAAAGCGUGCGCAGGCUGUUUUGUAAGUCAGAUGUGAAAUCCCCGAGCUCAACUUGGGAACUGCGUUUGAAACUACAAGACUAGAAUAUGUCAGAGGGGGGUAGAAUUCCACGUGUAGCAGUGAAAUGCGUAGAGAUGUGGAGGAAUAUCAAUGGCGAAGGCAGCCCCCUGG